UUGUUUUUUAGUUUUGUUUUGUUUGUUUAGAUUUAUAAAAUGUCAUGGUAAUUCUUAUAAGUGAACUUGUCUCUCUCUGGGUUUGGACACAACUCAAAACUAAAAUCUCGUUGUUUAAAUGUAUGUGAAAAUACCUAUUUGUUAUCCUCACUGGUUUGAUAGUAGCCUUCCAGAAGCACAAGCAGACUAGGAGUCGUUCGUUAUACGUUUGAUGUGAUGGUGUGAACAAGAAGUGAGGAAAAAAGCCAAUUCCAUUAUUAUGUGAAAGCAACAACCUCAAAACAAUUCUGUUUUUUAUUUAUUAACUGCUCACUUUAAUUGCUCCAUAACCACAAAGGAAAUAUCUUUCAUUUAAGGCACUACAGAGAGAGUACUGUCUGAACAGGCCUUAUUGCUUACUAUCCUUCAUGAAAAAAUGUGGCUUUUAAUGAAAUAUGCAUAAAAGUCAUUUCUGAUUUGUGACCUACAUAAUCAUACCUGUCCUGAGAGGCUUGGCUCAAAAAUUGUUCUAUUCCAAAUAAUUAAAUUUCUCUUUUGUAUUAUUUCUCAUUAAUUCAAUAUUCUUCUAAAAUAUAAAACUCCCACAAUGGUUUUAGCAUUCAGCCUUUCAGAUUUAUGAGCUAUUUUUAUGCUAAUACUGUUCUGUAAGACAAGACUCCUUGAUCAAUUGCCAGGUAACUGUUCCAUUCUUUUCCCAGCACCCUGCUAAUCCAGCACAGUAACUUAUUUUUAAUUGAGUCACUUCAUUGUGCAGAAAAUUCCUUUUAAUUAUACCCAUAAACAUUAACAGUAUUUUACAGAAACAAUUAUUUAAACAUAAUCAUUUUCCUUCUCUUCACCUCCUUUUUUUCCCUUUUUUUUUCUUUUGUGUGUGUGUUCUUGGAAAUAAUAAGUUCCAAAACAAAGAAGGGACAAACUGGAAAAAUUAAAGAAGCUUAUGGUCAUUAAAAUUAUUCCCCAAAGUUCAAGACCACUUUUAUUUAGAAAUAAGUAAGCUCUAAGAUAAUUACUUGAGAAGCUUGAAAGUGAUUUCAAUGUACUUUUAGGGGGAAAAAAAAGAAAGUACAGAUGUUCUGCUUGUCUGCAGGGAAAUCUUAAACUAUAUCUGAACCGAACAGGAGUUGCACAUACAAUGAGACUGUAAUAAUAACUAAAAAGAAGGGAUUCAGGUUGCAACUUUUUCGGGUUGAAAUAUGAGAGACUGCAAUAAAUAUCUUAUUCUUUAAAUAGCAACUUAAGAGUGCAUUAUAAUUUGUCAUCUAAAUGCAGGAAUGCAGCUAAAACUCUAUGGAUGUAAGAAACGUAAGAACUUUCAAAUUCUGGUCUGUUUCAAACUUAGGUUCUGCCACACUUAUUUCACUAAUACUGAAAUGAAUUUCACCCUUGUUUAAAUGUUCAGUCUAAGGCCAACUGCAAUGACCUCUCAAAAGUGACCUUUCAUUACUGUCAAACUUGCAGUAAUUUGGUUCAUUGAAGCUAGAAUACUUAAAAACAAACCAAAAACAACAACAAGAAAAACCAUCAGCUUUUACAUCAUCUGUAUUAAUGAAUCCUGAAUCACUUUCCACUCUUGUAUUUAUUAUUUGUCAUAUUUGCAUUUCUUUAUGUGACAAAGAAGAACAUAAAUGGUCAACAUAUUUUUCUUGCAAAAUCAGAUGAGGAGCAGAUGUUUUGCACUCAGUACUUCUAGCUGUAUGCUGAGAGAUGAUGAACAGGUGCAGAAGUCAAGCUGCUACUUAGCACUGUAAAAGAAAGCAUUUCUGAGUUGGACAGGAAUUGAGGAAAUAUCUGGGAAUGAUGUCUCCAUUUAAUCAAAUUUAACACUGGAGUGUUGUCAUAGAAGAUGACGCUCACUAUGUUAUUGUAACCAGGAUUAUCUAAAGCUUUCAAGUCUGGUGUUGGGUUGAGUCCAGUGAGUUUUGACACAUGGUUACCUUGAGUGGAACCCCUGAUCUCAGUGCUAAGAUUUCAACUUGAAGAACUUCAGCCAGUGGGAAGCCCACAGAAUCAGAUGGAGAAGAAUGGCAUCCCAUGGAAGGGACCCUAUGUGCAGCAGGGAAAGACAGGAAAAAUGAAGGAGCAGCAGAUGAAUAAGCAGGCAGGAUCCGCAGAGAUCCAUAUGGUAACCUCAUCAGUUAAAAUGUGUUAUGAGUGUAUCUUCUGGGGCCAACUAAUGCUCUUUUUGCACUUUCAGUAGCUGUGGGAGGAACUGACAAUAUUUAUUUUGAAAUGCUGUGAAUUGGUCUUAAAUGAGGUAGAUGAUAUGGUAUUGAAGAUUUGGCUGUACUCCAUAGAGUAAUAAAGUCAUAAAGUCACGUGGUUAUCUGAAGAGAAAAGAUCAGUAAUUAGAGCACAGUGACAUAAAUGUUUUGCUUUGGAGUGACAGGUUAGGAGAGCCAGCUGAUCUUAAGUAUCUGCCAUGAGGCACACUCUUAGUUGGUUGCAAAUGCAAUUAGGAUUAGCUGAGCACUGGAAGUUGUCUAGGCACAUAACUCAUUACUUAGCAAAAUAUUGCUUCCGAUAUGCAAGUUAUUCUGGAAGGACAAGGGAGUAGUUAUGUUUUGGCCAUAGGGUACCAUAAGAUUUCUGAGAGGUUGGAGCACCACAGAAGUGAUAUUCCUGAAACAAUUUAACUAAUACAGGUAUUUGUUUCGCAAGAAGUUUUAUUCUCUGAUAAAAAAUAAAAUCAGAACCGGAUAUUUGAAAGUUGAAGAAGAAUGAGAAACAUGGUGAAGAAACAGAACAUUUCCACUCCUUUCCUCCUGAUUCUGAGAGUGUAUGGCCAUGUGUGUAUGAAAAAAGUGAGAGUGAUUAUUUCUCCCACCACGUUAGAGAAGUCAUCGUGGAUAUGUUAAAUAAGUUGCUGCCUGUUGACUCUCAAAGGAGUGAAGUUAGUGAGUUGCAGACUGCUUAAACCAGACCUUACACACUUUGUUUUUCUUCCUGCUUAAAAAUGAGAUAAACAUGCAAGAAGAUCACUGAGGGGAGGCCUGGGGGAAGAGUAUGAGGGUGUACUGUUCUAGAAUCUGCAGAGCCUGAAUCUCUAAGUAGAUUUACAGUGGCUAAGCUUUGGUUAUAAAUAAUAGAAGGAAGAGGUGGUAUGUUUUGUAGAAAAACAUCAGCAUAAACAAAAGUCUUGCACAAUAGAUGUGGUUUGUGAAAUAUGAUGCUAAUAGGAGUCUCAAGACAUCCAGUAAUGAUUUAAACCAAAGAUAUAGUUUUAAAAUACUUAGUAGAUGCAGCUGUCAUUUGGUAAAUAUAUUCCUAUUUGUUUUGGUUUGCUACUGCUGGUGUGAGGUAAAUGACCAGUGAACAGUUUGUGGUUAUAGAAAGCCAAAUCAGUGUUAUAUGACAGGUGAAAAUCCAAGUGGUAAUUUGGUUAUCUAAUUUAAAGGAAUUAAAUUUUGUCUAGUAACUUGAAAAACAGUUAAUUGAAAAUCAGUCUUUAUCAUGUGAAUAAAUAUCUUCAUUGUUCAGUAUCUCUCUGAAUUUCUGAACUGAGGUCUAAUUCAAAAAUUAUUUUACAUCAAGUGUUAACUGAUAUUGUGAUAUCAAGUGUUUAAGUUAAAGUCCAUCCUUUCUGAAAGUGUAACAAUUUGUAGGAAAGAUUUCAGGGAAGUUCUCUGUUGUGUUUUGGGUACAGAAUCUAAGUUGAGAAGCAAGAAUAAUAAAGGAGCUGCUUGCUCCCUCUAUAAUGCUAUUUUGUGUAAUAUUUGUACUGACUGAAAAUGCAAAAGUGAACUAAAAUACGUCAUACUUCUCAUUUGGCAUUUAAUUUAGAGUCAUAAAAUCUUCAGAGAAGCCUUCAGAAUCCAAGAGCACACAAAUCACUUUAUUUCUAGUUGAGUGCGUUCAUCAAACAGGCAGCUUGAAACUGGCACGGCUUGAAAUAAGUAGGUCUUUUCAGGAAGGAGGGCAUGAUUAUGACAAGGAUAUGGCUGACAGGGCAUUAUCCUCCUAAAGGUAUGUUUUCCUAUUUGUCAGACUGCUUGAAUGCUUCCAGGGAAGGGGCAUCCACAGACUCUCUGGGCAACCUGUUCCAGUGUC
This is a non-coding RNA of Coturnix japonica (Japanese quail), 4047 nucleotides long. NCBI's taxonomy places the organism in Eukaryota, Metazoa, Chordata, Aves, Galliformes, Phasianidae. The record is from RefSeq and is a predicted model, not a curated record.